RNAcentral lists this long non-coding RNA (322 nucleotides) under Gossypium barbadense (sea-island cotton). Its description in RNAcentral is "long non-coding RNA (GBAR_LNC010014)". The record is from RNAcentral. Lineage: Eukaryota; Viridiplantae; Streptophyta; Magnoliopsida; Malvales; Malvaceae.
UUUGUUUAUUGACUUGGUUGAGUGGGAUCCAUUUUUUCGGUACCAGCAAAGGAGCAAAAUUGUUUUCUUGCGAGGAAAAUUUUCUGCUAAAGGGCAUGUUUUGGCCGAAGGAUUCAAAGAGGAAACACAAAUGGAUUCACUAGGGCCACACAAUGGCGUGGCUGCGUGCUGGAUUCUGCCAAUUGUUUUGUGGAUUAAAAUUAAUACUGACGAUAUGGUUAACCCGUUUCGAGCAUAGCCUCCUCUGGAGACUGGAGGUGUGAUGAGAAACGGUAAGGGCAAGUGUAUGUUUGCGGUGGAGCUUUGGGCAAUCAAAGACGAC